GGUGUUGUGGCUCAGUGGUAGAGCACUCACCUAGCACAUUCGAGGCCCUGAGUUCGAUCCUCAGCACCAUAU
RNAcentral lists this transfer RNA (72 nucleotides) under Marmota monax (woodchuck). Its description in RNAcentral is "tRNA.Ala". It matches the Rfam family "tRNA". Rfam says of the family: Transfer RNA (tRNA) molecules are approximately 80 nucleotides in length. Their secondary structure includes four short double-helical elements and three loops (D, anti-codon, and T loops). The record is from RNAcentral. Lineage: Eukaryota; Metazoa; Chordata; Mammalia; Rodentia; Sciuridae.